GGGCUCAUACUCCAACCGGUAGAGAGAGAGGACUUAAACUCCUUCCAGUCUGGGUUCGAAUCCCAGUGGGCCCACCA
RNAcentral lists this transfer RNA (77 nucleotides) under Paracoccaceae bacterium. Its description in RNAcentral is "Rhodobacteraceae bacterium (marine metagenome) tRNA-Leu". It matches the Rfam family "tRNA". Rfam says of the family: Transfer RNA (tRNA) molecules are approximately 80 nucleotides in length. Their secondary structure includes four short double-helical elements and three loops (D, anti-codon, and T loops). Further hydrogen bonds mediate the characteristic L-shaped molecular structure. tRNAs have two regions of fundamental functional importance: the anti-codon, which is responsible for specific mRNA codon recognition, and the 3' end, to which the tRNAs corresponding amino acid is attached (by aminoacyl-tRNA synthetases). tRNAs cope with the degeneracy of the genetic code in two manners: having more than one tRNA (with a specific anti-codon) for a particular amino acid; and 'wobble' base-pairing, i.e. permitting non-standard base-pairing at the 3rd anti-codon position. Lineage: Bacteria; Pseudomonadati; Pseudomonadota; Alphaproteobacteria; Rhodobacterales; Paracoccaceae. RNAcentral also lists the same sequence under 1 other name. The record is from RNAcentral.